Molecule: long non-coding RNA, 1065 nt
Organism: Diceros bicornis minor
Lineage: Eukaryota; Metazoa; Chordata; Mammalia; Perissodactyla; Rhinocerotidae
Exons: 6
Source: RefSeq, a predicted model, not a curated record
UUCAUUCAAAUAAUUUCCCACGGAUUUUUAACCCCUGGGAGCCCCCUAGUGUCCUGUUUGGAAACAGCCUCAGAAAUGUCCGUCUCACGGAGGUAAAAAGGAUUGAGAGCGUUUGCUUAGCAGCCGCGGAAUAAACACCUUAUAAAAUGAGGAAGGCCGUCCCCCCGCUGGCCAUCCCACGUAGCUGGGGCUCAGAGCACCAGCGUUUCCACGAACUACGACUCACCUUACCAUCUGGACCGUUCACAGAGUGACAUUUGUCUCCCACCGCUUCUAAGAAGAGAAGGCCUAGAAGUUCAUAAAAAGUUCUAAAAUUCAAGAAUGUAUAGAGUCAUCACGGAGCAAGAGAAGAAUUAGGAAAUCACCAAUGCUGUGGUUAAGAAUGCACGUUAUUUUGCAGCAUUUUGGGGAGUGAAGACAACCUUGACUGAGGAGAUAAUGCAAUGGACUAGCAGAACAUCUGGACCCCAAGAGUUUUGAUCUGAGCAACUGGAAUAACGGGACUGAUUGAGAAGGGAAAGAAUAUGAGUAGGGCGGGUUUGGGAUAUCAUGUUGACUCACCCUGUAAAUCCAUGGACUAGAAACACUGUUGAAGAAAAAUCACAUGGUUAUGCCAACAAGCAAGUUUUGAGCAUUGCUUGCAGAUGAGGCACAGAAGACAGAAGCGGAUUUACUGAAAGACUGAGCAUGAACAGAACUGCUCCAAGACCCAGAAGACAUCAUAGUGAGGAGAGACUUCCUCUGAGAUUCUUAUGGAGCCCAACAAUGCUCUGCUCCCUUGGGGAGCUGAAGCUAUGGCAACAUGGGUAUGGUGCCACGUACCCAUUAGUCAUAGCAACAGGAGAGCUUCUUCAGACUACUUUGAUGGUAAUGAUGUUAGCCUGAGGAAGCCAGAACAAGAAAGGAAGACUAUGAAGAUGUCACACUGGGAGUGUGAGCACCUGUGAGGCCUCCCUUUGGAAACUGGCAGACAUAAAUGUAAGAUACUUGGAUGCUGAGGUCUUGUAAACAUACUGCAAGGGGCAUUACAGUUCGGACAUUAAAAAUAAAAGAGUUCUAAUUUUA